RNAcentral lists this ribosomal RNA (361 nucleotides) under uncultured bacterium. RNAcentral describes it as "partial 16S ribosomal RNA". It matches the Rfam family "Bacterial small subunit ribosomal RNA", at positions 338 to 696 of the family's 1533-position model. The record is from RNAcentral.
CCUACGGGAGGCAGCAGUGAGGAAUAUUGGUCAAUGGGCGUAAGCCUGAACCAGCCAAGUCGCGUGAGGGAUGAAGGUUCUAUGGAUUGUAAACCUCUUUUAUAAGGGAAUAAAGUGCGGGACGUGUCCCGUUUUGUAUGUACCUUAUGAAUAAGGAUCGGCUAACUCCGUGCCAGCAGCCGCGGUAAUACGGAGGAUCCGAGAGUUAUCCGGAUUUAUUGGGUUUAAAGGGUGCGUAGGGGGCCUUUUAAGUCAGCGGUGAAAGUCUGUGGCUCAACCAUAGAAUUGCCGUUGAAAAUGGGAGUCUUGAGUAUGUUUGAGGCAGGGGGAAUGCGUGGGGUAGCGGUGAAAUGCUAAGAUA